UACGGAGGGUGCAAGCGUUAUCCGGAUUCACUGGGUUUAAAGGGUGCGUAGGUGGGUUGGUAAGUCAGUGGUGAAAUCUCCAGGCUUAACUUGGAAACUGCCAUUGAUACUAUCAAUCUUGAAUACCGUGGAGGUCAGCGGAAUAUGUCAUGUAGCGGUGAAAUGCUUAGAUAUGACAUAGAACACCAAUUGCGAAGGCAGCUGGCUACACGAAUAUUGACACUGAUGCACGAAAGCGUGGGAUCAAACAGG
Molecule: ribosomal RNA, 252 nt
Filed under: uncultured bacterium
Lineage: Bacteria
Description: partial 16S ribosomal RNA
Rfam family: Bacterial small subunit ribosomal RNA
Source: RNAcentral